This is a long non-coding RNA of Styela clava, 391 nucleotides long. RefSeq lists it as uncharacterized. Lineage: Eukaryota; Metazoa; Chordata; Ascidiacea; Stolidobranchia; Styelidae. The record is from RefSeq and is a predicted model, not a curated record.
GCGUGACCGACCGUGUCAUUUUAUUUUGAUUGUGUCCUUAAUAAUAAUUACAUUUCGCUGAUCUUCUCGAGCAACUCGCUCAAUACGCGAUAUCCCAUUCGCUGUCUGCGUGUUCUUCGUGUUUUGUUCACAACAUGGACCCUUGCAACUGCGCAGUAACAGGUAAAUGUACCUGUGACCCGAGCUCCUGUGAUUGUAGUAAGUGUAACUGUAAUCCCGAAACUUGCAAAUGUACCAAAGCAGGAAAGUCGUGCUGUGAUAAAACAAAAUGACGUCGAAUACUAUUUCUGUAAUCCUCUUGAAUUUCUCAAGAACAAAAAUAUCGAGUAUGUUUGAUAAUGCUACGUAAAUGAUAUUUCAGUUUUUCAAUAAAUUUGAACAGAAUACCGUA